AAUUGACAUGAUCUUGGCUAUGCCUCUUAGCACCCCAUUGGCUAAGGCGCUCUCCAGCUUAGAGUUUCUGCUUAGCAGAGUUCGGAUGUUACAAGAAACUGUAGCGAAAUUUCCAUUAUCUGAUUUUUUGGACCCCAUAUUUGCUCUGGUGUGCUCAUGGUAUAAGUUGGAAUUUGAAUCCUGUCCUGCUCUGCUUAAUGAAGUUGAAGAUCAGUUUGAGAAGAAUGCAGAGAAGUUGUGGUUGCCACUAUAUUCAGUUCUUCGACGUGAGCAGUGUGAUG
Molecule: unclassified non-coding RNA, 281 nt
Filed under: Hevea brasiliensis (rubber tree)
Lineage: Eukaryota; Viridiplantae; Streptophyta; Magnoliopsida; Malpighiales; Euphorbiaceae
Source: RNAcentral